RNAcentral lists this ribosomal RNA (481 nucleotides) under uncultured bacterium. RNAcentral's name for it is "bacterial SSU rRNA". It matches the Rfam family "Bacterial small subunit ribosomal RNA", at positions 30 to 507 of the family's 1533-position model. The record is from RNAcentral.
UUGAACGCUGGCGGCAUGCCUUACACAUGCAAGUCGAACGGCAGCACGGGAGCAAUCCUGGUGGCGAGUGGCGAACGGGUGAGUAAUAUAUCGGAACGUGCCCAGUCGUGGGGGAUAACGUAGCGAAAGCUACGCUAAUACCGCAUACGAUCUACGGAUGAAAGCGGGGGAUCGCAAGACCUCGCGCGAUUGGAGCGGCCGAUAUCAGAUUAGGUAGUUGGUGAGGUAAAGGCUCACCAAGCCGACGAUCUGUAGCUGGUCUGAGAGGACGACCAGCCACACUGGGACUGAGACACGGCCCAGACUCCUACGGGAGGCAGCAGUGGGAAUUUUGGACAAUGGGCGCAAGCCUGAUCCAGCAAUGCCGCGUGCAGGAUGAAGGCCUUCGGGUUGUAAACUGCUUUGUACGGAACGAAACGGUGAGCUCUAAUACAGUUUGCUAAUGACGGUACCGUAAGAAUAAGCACCGGCUAACUACGUG